UAAGGUAAAUUUUAUAUAGGAGCUGUAAACUCUUGUUUUUGUGUUACCUGGC
Molecule: transfer RNA, 52 nt
Filed under: Tyrophagus putrescentiae
Lineage: Eukaryota; Metazoa; Arthropoda; Arachnida; Sarcoptiformes; Acaridae
Description: tRNA-Tyr
Source: RNAcentral